UUCCCAGUCCUUUGACUGACGGUGCAGUGGGCACGAGGCGUGAGCCCGAGUAGUGUCACAGUGCUUACAUUUGCAUACGUGAUCUGAUUGGAUGACGGAUCCGUCGCUGCCGAAAAACAUUUUUCAACUUUUUGACGGAGCCAAAGGCUCCAACGGAGCGCACGGAUCCACAAUGCAGUCUGUCCGUCCCCGUUCAAAGUCAAUGGAGAUCAGUCAAUGGACGGAAGCAGUGGGCACGAGGCGGAGGGAGGGAGGGAGGGAGGGAGGGACGGAGUGAGGGAGGGAGAGAUCCACUUGGUUGCUGAUUUGAGUUUUUUUGUGUUUUUAAUAUUUUGCAGAAGUUGUAAUGCAAUUUAUAACGGGUUCAAGGAAGACUAGAUAAAGGAAUUCAACAGCUGUUUUCAAUAAAGGUUUACAUACAAAUAA
Long non-coding RNA from Gadus macrocephalus (Pacific cod), 426 nucleotides. RefSeq lists it as uncharacterized. The record is from RefSeq and is a predicted model, not a curated record. The transcript is spliced from 2 exons. Lineage: Eukaryota; Metazoa; Chordata; Actinopteri; Gadiformes; Gadidae.